RNAcentral lists this ribosomal RNA (406 nucleotides) under uncultured bacterium. RNAcentral describes it as "partial 16S ribosomal RNA". It matches the Rfam family "Bacterial small subunit ribosomal RNA", at positions 28 to 526 of the family's 1533-position model. The record is from RNAcentral.
GAUGAACGCUAGCGACAGGCUUAACACAUGCAAGUCGAGGGACCGGCGCACGGGUGAGUAACACGUAUCCAACCUGCCCUUUACUCGGGGAUAGCCUUUCGAAAGAAAGAUUAAUACCCGAUAUAAAGGAUGGGGAUGCGUUACAUUAGGUUGUUGGUGAGGUAACGGCCCACCAAGCCUUCGAUGGCUAGUGGUUAGGAUAGGAAGGUCCCCGACAUUGGAACUACGACCCGGUCCAAACUGCUACGCGAGGCAGCAGUAAGGAAUAUUAGUGAAUGGGCGUUAGCCUGAACCAGCCAAGUAGCGUGAAAGAUGAAGGCGUAUGAGACGUAAUCUACUUUUAUAUAAGAAGCUGUAUUAUAUGAAGAAGGAUCGGCUAACUCCGUGCCAGCAGCCGCGGUAAUAC